RNAcentral lists this ribosomal RNA (425 nucleotides) under uncultured bacterium. RNAcentral describes it as "bacterial SSU rRNA". It matches the Rfam family "Bacterial small subunit ribosomal RNA", at positions 376 to 793 of the family's 1533-position model. The record is from RNAcentral.
CGCAAGCCUGAUGCAGCCAUGCCGCGUGUGUGAAGAAGGCCUUCGGGUUGUAAAGCACUUUCAGUCGUGAGGAAGGUAGUGUAGUUAAUAGCUGCAUUAUUUGACGUUAGCGACAGAAGAAGCACCGGCUAACUCCGUGCCAGCAGCCGCGGUAAUACGGAGGGUGCGAGCGUUAAUCGGAAUUACUGGGCGUAAAGCGCAUGCAGGUGGUUUGUUAAGUCAGAUGUGAAAGCCCGGGGCUCAACCUCGGAAUAGCAUUUGAAACUGGCAGACUAGAGUACUGUAGAGGGGGUAGAAUUUCAGGUGUAGCGGUGAAAAUGCGUAGAGAUCUGAAGGAAUACCGGUGGCGAAGGCGGCCCCCUGGACAGAUACUGACACUCAGAUGCGAAAGCGUGGGGAGCAAACAGGAUUAGAUACCCUGGUAG